GGUUAAGCGACUAAGCGUACACGGUGGAUGCCCUGGCAGUCAGAGGCGAUGAAGGACGUGCUAAUCUGCGAUAAGCGUCGGUAAGGUGAUAUGAACCGUUAUAACCGGCGAUUUCCGAAUGGGGAAACCCAGUGUGUUUCGACACACUAUCAUUAACUGAAUCCAUAGGUUAAUGAGGCGAACCGGGGGAACUGAAACAUCUAAGUACCCCGAGGAAAAGAAAUCAACCGAGAUUCCCCCAGUAGCGGCGAGCGAACGGGGAGGAGCCCAGAGCCUGAAUCAGUGUGUGUGUUAGUGGAAGCGUCUGGAAAGGCGCGCGAUACAGGGUGACAGCCCCGUACACAAAAAUGCACAUACUGUGAGCUCGAUGAGUAGGGCGGGACACGUGGUAUCCUGUCUGAAUAUGGGGGGACCAUCCUCCAAGGCUAAAUACUCCUGACUGACCGAUAGUGAACCAGUACCGUGAGGGAAAGGCGAAAAGAA
RNAcentral lists this ribosomal RNA (483 nucleotides) under Escherichia coli. Its description in RNAcentral is "partial 23S ribosomal RNA". It matches the Rfam family "Bacterial large subunit ribosomal RNA", at positions 1 to 523 of the family's 2925-position model. Lineage: Bacteria; Pseudomonadati; Pseudomonadota; Gammaproteobacteria; Enterobacterales; Enterobacteriaceae. The record is from RNAcentral.